UUUUCGUUUAUAUUCCAAGUUUAUCCUUCUUUUGCUUCAGGGUAAUGUCGAUUACAUGACUGGAUUUAUACGGUAUAUUGUUUUGGCAUCUUGUUUCUGCUUCAAGCUUCGUGUUUAUCUUAUUAUUUAUGAGAUCUCAUCGGUUAUUCUAUCAAUGUGCGUUGAUUCUGACAAAUAUUUCUUCUGCUUUAGGGUGAUGUCGAUUACAUCACUGGAUGUUUUAUGGUUUAUUAUUUUGGCAUCUUGUUUCUGCUUCAAGCUUCGUCUUUAUCUUAUUAUUGAUCAGAUCUCAUCGGUUAGCCUAUCAAUGUGCUGUGAUUCUGGCAAUAUUCUUCCCUUCUAUAUUUCAGCUGAUACUUCAGCAGAGAUUGUAAUGGCAUGGUGGUGGUUUCAUAGAUCCUUAGUAAGUUGGUAUAGGGGCUCUGCUUAUGAAUUUUCACUUUUUUUGGUAUGUUCCGAAUUUGUGACAUAUUUAGGUUUUCCACGAGACUGUUCUGGGUUGGAUGUUCGGGUUGUUUCCACUGCUUCAGGUUCUUCUUCUCUCUGUCUGUCUCUGGAGGGCUUCUUUUUUGAAUGUGGAUUGCGGAGUCGAGUUUGGUUUGGUCAGAGAAAAUAGGAUUGUUCUUGGUACUGUUUUUUUUGGUUGCAAAUCUAUGCCCCCUUGAUUUUUGAGAAGGCGUUAUGUAGGACUAUAGCUCAAUUCUGCUAAUGCAGGCUCUCGUCAUUUAUCAAUAGCUGGUUCUGGUCGGAGAUGUUAUUCCCCUUGUGCUCAUCUAUGGGUCUUUCUCAGAGUUGGGAGUGCACAUCAUGUUAAAUUUCUUACCCCUUCUCUUGAAGCAUGGUUUCUUUUGGUUUUACUUGCUGCUAAUAUAUUGACCUACAACCUACAUGGUCUAGAAAUAUGAUGUAGUGGUAGUUAGGGGUGCUUUGAGUUAGGUGAAUUUGUUUUGGGUUGGUGGUUUAGGGAUCUUGAUAGAAGGUGCCUGUAAGUGUAGCCUGUAGGAGGUGUCUUUAAUACCUGUAUUCUUCAUAGAUCUGUUUCGCUUGCAGAUUAUUGGUGUUUCUCCGCUGGGUGAUAUGUGAUAUUGAAAUAAGCGGUGGCUUACCUUGAGAAUAUAAGGGCGGUUGUGAAUUUUAUUUAUAAUUUUGCUGUUUGCCUUGCAACUUCUAGUUGGUGACACGGUAUACUUUCUAGUUGAUGCUGUGAUGCGUUGUACUCUGUAUGGUAGAGAAGCUUUAAGCAAUCCUAUACCGUGAUUUGAAGAGCCCUCGAUCUCUUUUGACAUUUUAGUGGCAAGAUGAUGGAGUUUGAGAGGUCUUGUACUAAUUUUAGAGGGAGUCGUCUGUCCAUCAUGUUGUUUUUUGGAGAUAUGCACUAUUUUUUAGAAGAACUUAAGCUUUUCAGUUGAUCUCCAUGCUUUUCCCUCUGCUAAGUUCAUCUCAAUGCUUUUGGUUAUAGAUUUUUGAGGUGGUCAAGCGAUAUUCGCUACAAUAUCCUUUGACAUAAAGAGUGGUGAUACAGAGCUUCAACAAUGAUGAAUAAGGGAAUGUCGUGAUGUUCAAUUGGCAUACUUCAGGCUCAUGCUUUCAUCUGGUGGUUCUUGGACAACUGAGCAGUUUUCCUGAGUUCUCUUUUUUUCCGGAUGGAGGUAUUCUAUCUCUUACAUAGAAAAUAAGUUUCUUGAUAUUUUGAAUCUCAAUUGUGUUCAUGUCGGAAGGAGCGUCCGUGUAGUCGUCUUAUUUUUAGUACGGUAAUGUUUUCUCACGGAAUUUUUAUCAUAUCUUUUUGGUGGUCUUUUAUCUUCUGUCAUUCGUUGGUGCAAUGUGUUCCUUAUGGUGGGUAUAGAAUAGUUUAACUGCAAUGUAGAUAUGGCUUGUGUUGAUGUUUUUGGAAAACCACAGAUACACAGUGCUGAAGAGAUAUGACAGAUCUGCCCAAUCACAGGGCAUCUUGUUUCACACUUUUAUCUUUCGAAGAUCAGAAAGAUCUGUUGUGGCUUGUCUGGUAGAUCUCAGACUUCAGUCUUUUAUUUUGGCAAACGAUUAGUAAUUCAUUAUAAUAAAUUUCGAGUAACCUAAAAUAAUAAAAGAAAUCAAUUCUUGAAGAUAAAAAUAAAAUAUAUAUGUUCAUUAUCAACAACAAAUAUAUUAGAGAUUAUAAUAAUAUAAUAAAUCUUCAAAAUGAACAUAUCAAUAGAUUAAAUACAAAUAAUGCUCUUUUCGUUUCAAAAUACUCUUUACACUUUCACUUUCAAUCUAUUCACUCUUUCUACUUAUGUCUUUGAAUAUAACCCCUUAUUAUUUUCAUAUUUCUGCCUUUUAACUAUUGACCUAUAUUUUCUUCUCUCCAAA
Long non-coding RNA from Beta vulgaris subsp. vulgaris (sugar beet), 2352 nucleotides. RefSeq lists it as uncharacterized. The transcript has 3 exons. Lineage: Eukaryota; Viridiplantae; Streptophyta; Magnoliopsida; Caryophyllales; Amaranthaceae. The record is from RefSeq and is a predicted model, not a curated record.